GACGAACGCUGGCGGCGUGCCUAAUACAUGCAAGUCGAACGCACAGUUUAUACCGUAGCUUGCUACACCAUAGACUGUGAGUUGCGAACGGGUGAGUAACGCGUAGGUAACCUGCCUGGUAGCGGGGGAUAACUAUUGGAAACGAUAGCUAAUACCGCAUAAUAUUAAUUAUUGCAUGAUAAUUAAUUGAAAGGUGCAAUUGCACCACUACCAGAUGGACCUGCGUUGUAUUAGCUAGUAGGUGAGGUAACGGCUCACCUAGGCGACGAUACAUAGCCGACCUGGGAGGGUGAUCGGCCACACUGGGACUGAGACACGGCCCAGACUCCUACGGGAGGCAGCAGUAGGGAAUCUUCGGCAAUGGACGAAAGUCUGACCGAGCAACGCCGCGUGAGGGAAGAAGGUUUUCGGAUCGUAAAGCUCUGUUGUAAGAGAAGAACGGGUGUGAGAGUGGAAAGUUCACACUGUGACGGUAUCUUACCAGAAAGGGACGGCUAACUACGUG
This 505-nucleotide ribosomal RNA is filed under the name uncultured bacterium. RNAcentral describes it as "partial 16S ribosomal RNA". It matches the Rfam family "Bacterial small subunit ribosomal RNA", at positions 28 to 507 of the family's 1533-position model. The record is from RNAcentral.